CACACGACUCUCGGCUACGGAUAUCUCGGCUCUCGCAUCGAUGAAGAACGUAGCGAAAUGCGAUACCUGGUGUGAAUUGCAGAAUCCCGCGAACCAUCGAGUCUUUGAACGCAAGUUGCGCCCGAGGCCACUUGGCCGAGGGCACGCCUGCCUGGGCGUCACGC
RNAcentral lists this ribosomal RNA (164 nucleotides) under Elymus sibiricus. Its description in RNAcentral is "5.8S ribosomal RNA". It matches the Rfam family "5.8S ribosomal RNA". Rfam says of the family: 5.8S ribosomal RNA (5.8S rRNA) is a component of the large subunit of the eukaryotic ribosome. It is transcribed by RNA polymerase I as part of the 45S precursor that also contains 18S and 28S rRNA. Lineage: Eukaryota; Viridiplantae; Streptophyta; Magnoliopsida; Poales; Poaceae. The record is from RNAcentral.